Molecule: long non-coding RNA, 1989 nt
Organism: Oncorhynchus tshawytscha (Chinook salmon)
Lineage: Eukaryota; Metazoa; Chordata; Actinopteri; Salmoniformes; Salmonidae
Source: Ensembl
UCCACAUCUGAUGAUCCAAGGGGACCAGAAGGACCUCUCCCAGUGAUACCAGGAGAUCCAGUCUACGUUUGAGUGUUCCGAAGUAAGUGGGAUCAGCCGAGGAGAGAAGGACCCUACGAGGUGGCAACAGCCACAAACACGGCCGUCCAAGUGAAAGGAAGCAAGACGUGGUAUCAUCUGAACCACUGCACCUAAGUCCCGACGGAGAGAAGGACACAACCAUACAGAGAUGAGGACACAGAGGAUGCUGAUUCACCAGGCGGGACCCUGGAGGGAGCAGGAGCAGCGGAAACGAUCAAAGCGCCGGGGAGGAAUCAAGAAAAUGGCAGACCAGAUACAAGCCAAGAUACAACGAGUGCAUCAACUAACGCACUCAGAAGAAGCACCAGGGGAAAAGAGCCUGAAAAGAAAAGAGACAAACAACCAAAGUUUCCUCCAGUAUGGCCAGAAACCCCAGAAGUGGGGGGGGGUAACAUAUCUGCUACUCCUGAUGAUAUACCUGUUGGGGCAGACCUCUUUGACAGAAGCCCUCCACAGUGGGACCCCGAAGUAUCACCUACAGAAUGGGAACAUCUCUUCCCUAAAAAUUUACACCCUUCCAGAUGGAAGCCCAGUCCGGCCUGAGGAGGGAGCCUCAUGGGAAGAAAGAGGAGGAGAGGCCUCACAAGGAACAGAAGGAGAGACCCCACAAAGAGGAGGAAAAGUCCAGCAAGCUGAAGAAAAUGGGGAUUUCCCCAAAAUUGACUUUUCAGCUCUUGAAUGGUCUCCUUAACAGACACUUGAAGUUAGAACCACAGAAGAACAAUGACAUUGACAUAACAGAAGUAACAGUGAACGCUAGUAUAGAAACAACAGACUCACGCACAAUCAAGAUGUAGGGUGGAAACAGGAAGAGAAGAGAGGAACCAGUCAAACAAUCUAGAAAGACUGACAAGAUUAGAAUCUCUGUUCCACCUCAACACAUAACUGAAACAGGAGAACAGAAGACAAAAGGAUCAAACCCUUACCGGAGAUUGCAUUCGGUGGAUGGACACAUCAUCAAACGAAGGGAGGAGUCAUUUGGGACUCAAAAGGAUGUGACCUGACGUUAACCAAAGAAGUAGACGAGUGGGUGCUCACCAUGAAUCAGAUUGAACCAGUUGAAGGUGAAGAAUUAAUAGUUGAAAAUAACGAGAACAAUAUUGACCGAAGGGAGUAGCUCCUCAGUCAUUAGAAUUGGUCUUAGGCCAAUACCUAAACAGGAAGAGCCUGUGGUAGCUAGAAAGCAUCAGAACCGGGAGGGUUCUUUACUGACAUUUGGAACUUUUUGAAAAACUCUAAUGAUAUACCUCAAGACAAGAACAUUGUAAAAACGACAUCUAUCUCAGAAUCUGAACCACUCAAGGACACCACACGAGAAGAAGUAGUGAAGAAUGAGUGAAUAGAAAAACUGAACAUUUGCUAUCUGAGAGUCUCCUCAUUGAAAACAUCCGAAGUUCUUCAAAGGACCUGAGCCCUAGGACCAUGCCUCAGGACUACCUGACAUGAUGACUCUGCUGUCCCCAGUCCUCCUGGCCGUGCUGCUGCUCCAGUUUCAACUUCCACCUGACUGUGCUGCUGCUCCAGUUUCAACUGUUCUGCCUUAUUAUUAUUCGACCAUGCUGGUCAUUUAUGAACAUUUGAACAUCUUGGCCAUGUUCUGUUAUAAUCUCCACCCAGCACAGCCAGAAGAGGACUGGCCACCCCACAUAGCCUGGUUCCUCUCUAGGUUUCGGCCUUUCAAGGGAGUUUUUCCUAGCCACCGUGCUUCUACACCUGCAUUGCUUGCUGUUUGGGGUUUUAAGCUGGGUUUCUGUACAGCACUUUGAGAUAUCAGCUGAUAUACCAAGGGCUAUAUUAAUACAUUUGAUUGGAAAUUGUUUUUAACAUAGUCUUUAAAAGUAAUAACUAUAAUACAGGCCUACCGUAUCCGUAAAGAGCUCUUCAAUCCAUUCAUGUUGCUUCUUCGUC